RNAcentral lists this ribosomal RNA (189 nucleotides) under uncultured bacterium. RNAcentral describes it as "partial 16S rRNA". It matches the Rfam family "Bacterial small subunit ribosomal RNA", at positions 338 to 524 of the family's 1533-position model. The record is from RNAcentral.
CCUACGGGAGGCAGCAGUGAGGAAUAUUGGACAAUGGAUGGAAAUCUGAUCCAGCCAUGCCGCGUGCAGGAAGACGGCCCUAUGGGUUGUAAACUGCUUUUGUAUGGGAGCAAUAAGGGCUACGUGUAGCCUGAUGAGAGUACCAUACGAAUAAGCAUCGGCUAACUCCGUGCCAGCAGCCGCGGUAAU